Parus major (Great Tit) is the source of this 6873-nucleotide RNA transcript. It is a transcript of the gene named TGF-beta activated kinase 1 (MAP3K7) binding protein 3, with no coding region annotated. The transcript has 7 exons. NCBI's taxonomy places the organism in Eukaryota, Metazoa, Chordata, Aves, Passeriformes, Paridae. The record is from RefSeq and is a predicted model, not a curated record.
CCGCCCCGCCCGGCGGCCCCAGCGCCCCGCACUGAGCCCGGAAGCGCUUCCCGGCCGCGCUCUGCCCCGGACCCCUGUCCCUGCUCCAGCCUCCGCUCCCCGCGCCCGCCGGGGCACGCGCCUCUCCCUCUCCCCUUCCUCAGGAGGAGCGGGGGGGCCCCCGCAGCGGGGCCUGGGGCAGAGCCGGGGGGCGGGAAUGCAGCCGCCGGAGCCGCAGCCGCAGCCGGAGCCAAGCCCCCAGCGCAGCACGAAAAUGCCAGAAGCCUCAGAAGACCACAAUCAUUGGAAGGCCUGUUGACUUCCGUUUUCUGGUAAUCUGGAACAUCAUCCAUCUGGCAUGGCGCAGGGCAGCCAACAGCUUGAUGUGCAGGUACUCCAUGAUCUCCGGCAGCGUUUCCCUGAGAUACCUGAAGGGGUGGUAUCUCAGUGCAUGCUUCAGAACAACAACAACCUCGAUGCCUGUUGUCGAGCCCUUGCGCAGGAGAGCAGCAAGUAUUUGUAUAUGGAGUACCACAGCCCUGAUGACACCAGAAUGAAUAGAAAUAGCCUUUUGCACAUUAAUCUGGGUAUUCAUCCUCAUACCAGCUAUCACGCGGGGGAUGGAGCUCAACUUAAUGGUGGUCGUACACUGGUACACAGCUCAAGCGAUGGACACAUUGACCCGCAGCGCACGGCAGGUAAACAGCUGAUUUGCUUAGUUCAAGAACCACACUCUGCUCCUGCCGUUGUGGCAGCUUCUCCUAGUUACAAUCCAUUUUUCAUGAAUGACCAGAAUAGAAAUGCAGCUACUCCUCCUCCACAGCCACCUCCACAGCCAUCUUCCAUACAACCAGGAAUGAACACGUCUGCUAUGCAAGGCCCUCCCACGUAUAUGCACAUACCUCGGUACAGUACAAAUCCCAUUACUGUUACAGUAUCACAAAACCUCCCCUCUGGACAGAGUGUACCCAGAGCUCUACAAAUUCUUCCACAGAUUCCAAGCAAUCUUUAUGGGACUCCUGGCUCUAUUUAUAUUAGACAAACAUCUCAAAGUUCUUCAGGACGACAGACUCCUCAGAAUACACAGUGGCAUUCAUCGCCACAGGGCCCAGUUCCACAUUAUACUCCUCGUCCUCUACCUGUAUAUCCACAUCAACAGAACUACCAACCUUCUCAGUAUUCUCCGAAACAACCCCAGAUCCCUCAGUCGGCUUUUCGAUCACCGCCGGCAUCCCAGUGUCCCUCUCCCUUUGGCUCUCCUCAACACCAAGUUCAGCCUCCUCAGCUGAGUCACCAGAGUUCACAUGUUUUCAUGCCUCCUAGUCCUUCCACUGUCCCACCCCAUCCGUAUCAGCAAGCAUCCCAGACUUUUCAAAAGCAAGGUGGUCACUCUGUAUCGUACCUUCCUCCUUUUGCUGGACCUAGUUUAUCCAAAGGUUCCAUGAAUAAAAUAGAAAUUACAGUUGAGCCACCACAAAGACCUGGGACUGCAAUGAACAGAAGCCCUUCACCAAUAAGUAAUCAACCAUCUCAACGAAACCAGCACCCGCUGUAUGCAGCCACUACUCCUCCUUCAGGCUCUCCAUCCAGAGGUAUGUCGGGACAACCCAAACCUCCGUUUAGUGUUAAUCCAGUGUUUAUUACCUACACUCAACCAACUGGACCUGCAGGUGCACCAACACAAUCUCCUCGGGUAAUGGUAUCUCAGCCAAACCCAACCAUUUUUAAAAUCACAGUAGGUCGAGCACCGACUGAGAAUCUUUUAAAUUUAGUGGACCAAGAAGAGCGUUCUGCAGCACCAGAACCUAUUCAGCCUAUUUCUGUAAUCCCAGGAUCUGGAGGAGAAAAAGGAAGCCAUAAGUAUCAGAGGAGUUCUAGUUCUGGAUCAGACGACUAUGCUUACACUCAAGCCUUGCUGUUACAUCAACGAGCAAGGAUGGAGAGAUUAGCAAAGGAACUGAAGCUUGAGAAAGAAGAGCUUGAACGCUUGAAGACUGAAGUCAAUGGUAUGGAGCAUGAUCUGAUGCAGAGGCGGCUUCGAAGAGUCAGCUGUACAACUGCAAUUCCAACAGUAAGCAAUUUCCUGAGGAAAUGACCAGAUUGAGAAGCCUCAACAGACAACUCCAGAUAAAUGUUGACUGUACACUGAAAGAAGUUGAUCUCCUUCAAUCUAGAGGAAACUUUGAUCCGAAAGCCACAUGUAACUUCUAUGAUAACAUAGAGCCUGGUCCUGUUGUGCCACCAAAGCCAUAUAAAAAAGAGCAUCAAAACAGCUCCAAACAGACUCCACGAACUCAGCCAAGAGAUGAAGACUUUGAAGGGGCCCCAUGGAAUUGUGGUAGCUGCACCUUUCUAAAUCACCCAGCACUAAAUCGCUGUGAACAAUGUGAAAUGCCACGAUACACCUGAAAUUCAGGAAGGGGCUGCAUUGGGUUGAACACAGGCUCUCAAGCCAACACCUGUAAGAGAAGGAAACAUGGGGAACCUUUCAGUCCAUCUGCCCGGCCUUUGCCAGUCAACAAUCUUCAUAUUGCAAGGGGUGGGAGUAAUGUGUUAGGAUGUUUCUGCUUCUGCUGCACUAGAAAAUAAAUAAAUUAAGGGUUAAAUUCCUUCCCAUUGCAGUGAGCGAAGCAGAAAAUGAAACCUGAAAAUGUAAAAGGAUUAAUUUUGAGAAGAAUGUAUGCAGGAAAGCAAGUAACUACUGGUGUUUAUUCCUGUGGUUAUAGUUACUGCUUAGUGGCUCUAAAAACAAACAACCCGAAACUACUGUUUUUUAAAAGAAAAUUAUAGGACUCUUAGUAAUGGUGUGAAGUGUUACACUUAACCAGAAAAACUGAAGAGCCAGAGCUGACUUAACCUGGCCACAGCUAGCUGGAAAACAAAGGCUCCCUGUGCUUCUAGAUUGUAAGCUACUGAAAAAGAAGACAGGUAAAUGCAAUGAUAAAUUUUGCAAUGUAUAAAAAAAAAGGAGAAGGGUAUUUGUAAUUGCUGCUUUUUUUCAGGGUAACUUAUGUCUACAAAAAAUUGCUGUUUGAAAUAGUGACCUGAGGUGACUAAAUGAGGAACCGUGUGAGUGUAAUAGAGAGUGUAAUCAGAGGUAAUUUUUUACAAUCCCGUUUGCUUGUACAGUGCUCACCUGGCUGUGUCAACACUGGUAAUAAACCAAGAAUGAAUUCUACCACGUUGCGGAUGAAAAUCCUGCUGCAUGCUUUCAUUGGGCCGUCGUGUUUCCAAGCUCAAAGGAUGCUUUUCUAUACAACCAUCUGAGCCUGUGCUCUGCAGCAGCACAGUGACAUAUGCCAAACACAGGCUACUCCAAAUUCCAUUUGGAAGACUUGGGCUCAGCCAUGGUUGUGUUUGAGAAGAGUUUGUACCCAGUUCCUUAGGCCUUCUCAGCUUCCAAUUUGUGAAGAAUUCAUGGUGUUUACAGCACAGAAGGUACUUUGUGCCCCAGAUCAAAGUUAGCUGAAAGAUAAUUAAUCAGCUCUUCAGUAAAGGUUUAUUUGCACAUUAUAAAUAAACCAGCCUGUACAAAAUAGCAGAUGCCAGAUCCUGAAGAAUUACACACAGCAUUCUUUCUAUUUUGAUCAGGAAAUAUUUGUCAUAGGUUAAAGAAUACAAGACUUGCAAUUGAAAAUCCUGCUGGUACUUAUCUGUCUAUGAUACACUGUAUUCUAAGGGUGAUGUUCAAUCUGUCUGAAUGCUUCAGGCUGCUGGAAUAAAGCACUCGAUACUUUGUGAUCGAACUUGGGUUUGGGCAGCUGAAUGAUUCUGUGACACAACUGUGUGACUGAGUAUGGUGUUCUGUGUCCUGGUCAGAGGCUGGUACAGUGCAUUUGAGUUUUAUGGUAUAACUUCAUCACAAUUCAGAGAUGCAGCCAAGCACUUCAGCUGAAUUAUGGUAAUUGACUUGGUAAAGCAAAAUUUGCUAUUAACUUUACCAUGAGAGUUUUAAACUACUUCAUUUUAAGCUCUUCUUAGCUAAUGGCAGCCACAUCCAUAUUGUCAAUUACCACAGUUCUCUUGAUGUGUGAUAACAUGCUAAGCUGUGGUAGAACAAUCAUGUGUCUGAAUCCUUAUUUAAAAUAAAGCAGCAUUUGCAAGGGGUGGGUGGAUGUAAACUCAUCUUGAAUGCGUUGCUCAAUCUGGUGUCUUCUGUCCUCACAAUUUUAUAAAGACAACAGUAAGAACUGAACUGUUGAUCUUAGAUGAGGAACCAAUAUUUUAUCUGGCAUUUUUCAAUAUGUUCUUGCACUAACUAAAUCUUCAGGAUAAUUUUUAAAUAAGCUAGAUCUCCAGCAAUCAGUGUGUACCACUGAUGUGCAAAACAAAGUCAAAGGCAUCAGAGAUAGUUUUCCACCCUUCCUAGUGAUUUACAUUUCUGUGGGGGGAGCUCAUCACAUUUGGAAGGGGGUAAGCAAGUUACUGUCAACUACUGUCAGCUGUAAUUGAAAGGCAGAUAUUAAUUUUGUGCAUAUCAGUGGACAGUUUGACAAAACUGAGGACUAGAAAGCAGAUGAGCAGAAGCAUUCCUCUUAUCAGCUAUAUAAUGAAUGACUCCAAAUAAUACCAGUAACUUCAUGGCUUUUCUAUCCUGAUGCCUUUGUCAUUGUAUUAUUUCAAUUUUCUGUUCCUUUAUACUUCUGGUGAAGUUCUAGAAGCAUUUGUUUUUGCUGGAAUUACAGAAAGAUAGCAACUGAAGUGACAGCAAAUGAGAGUAGGGCUGUCAUGCAAAAAUACAUUGUGCCAUUUUCAGAAAGAAUAGAUGCUACUAUAUUUUGAAGUUAUGUUUUGAAGUUUUGAAGAUGUGACUAUUUGAAGGAGGAGGUGCAAAUAUGCAUUCAGUCCAAAAAUGCCCUGAACUGCAAUAACCAUACACGGAGACUUGCAAAUCUUAGUCCCAGCUUCACCAGGGGAAGAGAAAGAAGGCUGCCACCACAGCAAGGUACUUAUUGGAAGAGUGAGUUAGCGCCAUUAAAUUGAAAAGUAAGUCCUUUGUACCAAUGAUUUUACUUGGUUUUUUUCAAUUACUCUCAUUUGUUGCUUGUACAAACAAACAAAGAAAACCACCACACCUUCUGUUGUAUUCUUUUAUUUGUAAAUGCCCAUACUCAAAUGUUAAUAGUGAAGACUUGACAUGGUGCUUGAAUAUUUCUAGUUUGUUAGAAUGUAAUUGUAUUUUGAAUAUUGGAAGAUCCAUUUUCCUUCUGAAAGCAGGUGAUGCCAUUCAAACCCCAACUGAAUUGUAGAUUAUACCAAAAAGAUUGGUUUAUGGAAUAUUUAUUGAAUGCACAUAAAACCCUAAUGUCAGCUGGCAUACAAAAUGCACUGUAUUGUAUAAAACGUGUGUGUGUGUGUGUGUGUGUGUGAGAAUGUUGGGAUGCUGAUGCUGUUGUGUUGAGUUAAUGCACUACUUGUGUUUUCUUUUUUCCUUAUUGACUGAGCUUUCCCUCAAUCAUGCUACUAGAUUGGUAGAGUUUGUAACUGACUCGGACAUUCAGUUAUUGAAAAUGAUCUCACUGUUCAUUGAAAUUUUAUAAAGCUUAUUUUAUAUUUCCUGUGCUAUUAAGAUGAAUUCCCUUAUAAUUAUAGGAUACUACUGUAGUUCUUUAAAAGUUUAUUUAGAGUGGGGCUUGUGGAAAAAUUAUUCAGAACAUAGUAAACCAAAAGAAAUCCUAAACUUUGGAUCUACUUUUAAUUUGAUGUAAUUAUUAGUCUUGCGUGGGUGAAGAGGAAAGGGGUGGGAAGUCAAGCAAAAGGAAGUACUUUGUAAAAUGUAGUCUUAGAUCAGAUUGAAUUGUGUAUCUGUGUGUCUGUGGUAUGUGUGUGUUUCCCUUGAAAAAUGGGAGGUGUGGUGAAAAGGUGUAAUAAUUCUUAAAAGAGCUGGUCUCAGUACUUUCUGAUUAUGAUAUGCUACUGAAUCACGUUUGUUUUUUUUUUAAAAGAAAAACAACUUUUGCUCAGUAACUUUAUCUCUCCCAGCUAUACAUUUCUCACUUCAGUUUCUAAAUACUUUAAUACUUUUUCAGUUUCUAAAUACUUUUACAUUUAAUAUUGAUUGUAAAAUCCCUUGAAACGGAAAUAGAAAUACUUGAGUUGAAAUGGGGACAAAAUAAAACCAAUAAAGAAUGUUUUAAAAAAGAAUGUGAGAAUAUUAAAUAUGUUAAAAACAAGCUUGUCAUCAGGAUGAUGGUUCUUCUUUUAAAAUCCAGUGAUGUACCCUAGAAUGUGAACAUGACUAUCCUGAUGAGAAGUGAAUGGUUGGACAUAAACAAUUCAACAGCCAAUUUGGUACCACAGAAUUGAUGUGCUCUGUACUGCAGUGACUCCAAAUCCCACAAGGAAGGAAGACACGCACAGAUAUCACAUCUCACAGUCAGUACUGUCUCUGUGUGCAGCUGCAUUUGUUUUCGUUUCAAAAUGUCAAUCUUACAUAAACCCAGACAUGACUGAGUUUUGCCACAUUUUUUCAGUUGGGGCUUUCAUUGCUGUUUAUGUCCAUAAAUUCAAAUAUUUUUCUUGGAAUAAUCAGAAAUCAGUGGAGUUCAUGCAAUAUUAUAAUCCUGGAUUUCCAGUAUCUUUGAAACCAAUUUUAAAAAACUGUGUUCUUGAAACUUAUUUAUUUAUGGUGGCACCAGUGUAUCUAAUCCAUACUUCCUGCUGUGUGAAACCCUGUUAAAUUUUUUCAUUAAAAAAAGAAGACACGAUCUUGUUUAAUCCUGUAUAUAUGGUGUCUACAUUCUAGAUUUGUGUAUGCUGUGAAUGAACUUAUUACUAAGAGAUGAAAUUGUAUAAAAGCAUUCAGAGGCUAUGCAUGCAUGGUACCUCCAGAAAGUGCAUACUCCAAGUUGCAGAUUCCUGCAAAAAUAAAUUAAUAAAACUAAGCAAACAUCA